RNAcentral lists this unclassified non-coding RNA (106 nucleotides) under soil metagenome. RNAcentral's name for it is "partial internal transcribed spacer 1". The record is from RNAcentral.
GUGAACGCCCUCACGGGCUUAUACUAUUCCAAACCUCUGUGAACCGUGCCCUCCGGGGCUAUUUUACAAACAUGGUGUAAUGAACGUCAUAUAUCAUAACAAAACA